CGGGGGUGUGGAGCGCCAGCGAGCCCAAGGUCUCCCUGGCGAGCAUGGCAGGACUGGAGGGCUCCAGGCAGGGCUCCUCGGCGUCCCUCGGGGCCCCGACGGAGGUGCCGGAGAUCUUCCGGCUACAAACCCGGGCAGGUGAGGCUCGUUAGCCGUGGGAGGCAAUUCACCUAGGAGAGCAAACUCUAUACAAACCCGGGCAGGUGAGGCUCGUUAGCCGUGGGAGGCAAUUCACCUAGGAGAGCAAACUCUAUACAAACCCGGGCAGGUGAGGCUCGUUAGCCGUGGGAGGCAAUUCACCUAGGAGAGCAAACUCUAUACAAACCCGGGCAGGUGAGGCUCGUUAGCCGUGGGAGGCAAUUCACCUAGGAGAGCAAACUCUAUACAAACCCGGGCAGGUGGAGGUCGUUAGCCGUGGUAGGCAGUUCACCUAGGAGAGCAAACUCCGAACAACAAACCCGGGCAGGUGGAGGUCGUUA
Long non-coding RNA from Eriocheir sinensis (Chinese mitten crab), 479 nucleotides. RefSeq lists it as uncharacterized. The transcript has 3 exons. Lineage: Eukaryota; Metazoa; Arthropoda; Malacostraca; Decapoda; Varunidae. The record is from RefSeq and is a predicted model, not a curated record.